CUACUCCUGCAACUAUUUUUGUAUGUUUCUAUCUGUAGUUUCUUCCUGCACAAAGCACAGUAUAGCACAUCAGCCCACAAUCUCAAUGCCAACCAUAUAUAAUGAACAAAAAUGUUUGUUUCCAAAAUGGAUAAUGUUGAAUAGAGAGAACAUCAAGUGUUUAAUUGUCAUGCGUGCUGACAAUGCAACAGCUCAACAUCCUGUAAAUGCAAUAACACACAAUAUAAAAUGAUAAUAGAUUCAAUAAAUCA
This is a long non-coding RNA of Amblyraja radiata (thorny skate), 251 nucleotides long. RefSeq lists it as uncharacterized. The transcript has 2 exons. Lineage: Eukaryota; Metazoa; Chordata; Chondrichthyes; Rajiformes; Rajidae. The record is from RefSeq and is a predicted model, not a curated record.